This is a long non-coding RNA of Musa acuminata AAA Group (dessert banana), 5680 nucleotides long. RefSeq lists it as uncharacterized. The transcript has 4 exons. Lineage: Eukaryota; Viridiplantae; Streptophyta; Magnoliopsida; Zingiberales; Musaceae. The record is from RefSeq and is a predicted model, not a curated record.
AAUCCGUUCGUGGAAGGAGAGCCUUCGCCACUUCUCUCCUCUUCUGUGCUGCUCGAACCCGUUCUCCCAAUCUAGGGUUCCAGAGAUCGCGAGGAAGAACCGAAGAAGAGUAGUAGUUAGGUAAAGAGGAAGGAAUGAACCGGAAGCUUAGAAACCGAAGGAAGCCUACGAAGCGGCGAAGGAGAAGGGGUUUCGCCCAGGUCGUGGUGGAUUAUCCCGCGUCCGAUUGCUACAUUUACGCUGCUGUCCUCGACCCGCUGCCCCCUGAUUCGUUGCCUUCGUCUGCUGCCCCCUCUCCUUCCUCCAGAGAUCGUAGCUAUUGUCAUAACAAACAUAAUGGACUGCCCUGCGAGAUUCGGUAUGAAAUCGACGGAAUGAGAAAAGUGAGGUAUUAAUCUACUUUUCGGAGUUAUCAGAGGAAUUCAAGAUGCAGUGUGCUGAGAUGGUAAGAUUGCUUCUUUACGGUGUACAGACAAAGGGAUAUCUGUAGUGCAUUUGCAGUGGCUAAUUUCAAAAUGACACUGCAGGCGCCUGCUACUGAUGAUGAGCACUGGUGAGUAUAUAUUUCUUACUAAUGGUUACUUGGUGAGAUUCUGUUGUAUCAUCUGGUCUUGUUUGUGUUUGUGCCCUUCUUGUUGCUGUAUCUGCAAACCAAAUACUAAACUUUAUUUGUAAACUUUAUCAUUGUGCUGUAUGUAGACAAUACUCUUUUUAUGCCUAUACUAGCAUGUGAAUCAGUGGUGGUUAUUUAGGAUUGGUGUUCUUGUUUCAUUGACAUCUAUGAUCAUUUAGAUUGAUGAAUUUGUUGAAUGCUGUUUUGCUAACUUGACUAUAAUUCUGAUAUAUUUACUUGAUCGAUAAUUGCUUUAUAUAUGGAUUGGCAAGGGUAAUAUUCAUUGUGUGUAAAAGAAAAUGUUUGUUAAUUUAAGAUUUUAUCUUUCUGAUAUGGACUAUUAGGCUAGUAGCUGAUAAUAAAUAAGUCUUUAUAAAUAACAGGUGACAAGCACCAAUUCUGGUUAACAAUAAUUUAUUGGUGUAGAUGUUAUGAAAAUUUACAGAAAUUGAAAUUCUUGGGUCAAUUCUAUUGGAUAAAGUUACUAGAUAGAAGGUUUUAUCGGUGAUAGAUUUAAGCAUGGAUCAAAAUUUUUUUGUUACAAGGAAGUCAGAUUGGGUGAUUUAAGCCAGAUUUGGAUCCUCACUUUUCCUUAUCUAAUUGCACACCGAAUAGGUACGAAUUUCAUCCUAGUUGCAAUUUUAGCUGAUGAAAUUAUGGGGCACCACUCUGACUUUGACUGAGAUGGAUUUGUAUAGAAGUAGAGAGGGUGAGGCGAGUUUGGCUAUGGAGAGCACUGUUUAUCUCAAAAUCACAAGUGAGCAAUUACAACAAUGCUGACAGUAAGAAUGGUAGUAAUACUCUUUGAAAUUCCAUUUAAAAAUGUGCUUAAUUGAUUUCUCAUGCUAUUUCACUAUGAUUUUGUUCACAAGGUUUCAAUUCUGCAUUAAGAGAGGGUGAUGGUGGCAGCCUUUCAAUUUUCUAUAUAUCUGGGAAGACUAUGAAAAUUAUUACAGCUCUUUCAUUAUGUUUGAAUCAUUCCUAAUAUUUUGAGCAUUGUAAGUGGUAACCAAACAAUCAUUUUCUCGUUGUACUGUAAUGUACUCGGAUCCUGUCGAGUCUUCUUUUCUCCAAUUUUUAGUAGUCUCUGACCUGAUGCUUUACUGAAUAUGAGUAUGUAGGAAAAUUUCAUCAAUUUUCCAGUGUGUGCCUUUCUCAUGUGCAAAGCCCAUUAGUCCUUCUGCCGACUUGGACAUGUGAACUCACUACAAUGUUGGACUGUUUAAGCUUUUGGAACAAGUGGACAACCAACCAUUAUGUCUUCACUCUGAAGAGCACAUACACUUGAUGCAGUAAGAACUUUUUUAAUCCUAAUAACAUCAUCUUAGUAAGACAUGCUUGGCUGAGUUUGAGUCUUGCAUGGUUUUUAAAUGGAACAAAAAUGCAAGGAACUUAACAAAAAUGGAGAUAAAAUGGAAAUUAACCAUUAUAGAAACUUAAGAAGGUUUUGAAGUUGGUCCUCCGAAAUAGCAUUAUCAUGGACUUUUUUAACAUAUGCUUUAUAUUUGGAAUAGGUGAUUUUUAUGUGUGGUUCUCAAUUGUGACCACUGCAAUAUCUAGUUGGUUUUGAAAGUUCAAAUUCCAUUUUUUAGUAUCAGUAAUAUAAACUUCCACAGAUGUUAGUUUUCACUAUCAUUCUCUAUUACACUUCAUCAAGAACACUUGAUAAAAUACUCCACAUGAUUGCAUAUAUUUUAACCAAUGACAAGAAUGUUUAUGCUGAGUAAAAAAAGAUUAAAAUGAGAAAACUAAGGAGAAAAAAAGUAAUGGAAGGAAGAUUUCCUCUUUUUGCUUCUAUGUUUGUCAACUAUGAGGUAUGAACAUCGAUACGAGACACAAACAUGGUAUGAUUUUUAUACAUUUCACACCAAAUGAUAGAAGUUGGAUGUAGCCUAAAAGGGAUCCAGUGAUUAAUAAAUAUAUUUUCCCCAUAUGUUAUUUAUUUUUUUAUGCUUUAUAUAAUAUAUAUGAUCUAUGAUUAUCAUAUACAAAAAUUAUGAUAAAUAUGGCAACAAUUUAUGUGGCUAGCAAAUGUUAACAAAUUCUAAAACAUAUACAAAAAAAUAAGGAGCAAAUCAAAUCCAAAUUACAUAUAUUGACAAUAUCCAACAUGUCUAAAGCCUUAUAAAAGAUGAUAUAAGCAUCCUACAUAUACAUGAUACAUUUAUAUAAAUGAGUGUUGAUGGUAUGAGAAUUUUAGCAGGAUUUGAAAUAGUUAACAUAUAUAUGAUCUAUGAUUAUCAUAUACGAAAAUUAUGAUAAGUAUGGCAACAAUUUAUGUGGCUAGCAAAUGUUAACAAAUUCUAAAACAUAUACAAAAAAAUAAGGAGCAAAUCAAAUCCAAAUUACAUAUAUUGACAAUAUCCAACAUGUCUAAAGCCUUAUAAAAGAUGAUAUAAGCAUCCUACAUAUACAUGAUACAUUUAUAUAAAUAAGUGUUGAUGGUAUGAGAAUUUUAGCAGGAUUUGAAAUAGUUGACAUGUGUCAAAAAAAGUAUUAAUUGAGUGGCAAGUGCAACCUGGACAUGACAUCGACACAAGUAAUAUGAAGUUCCUGUGGUUCUUUAGUAUUUAAAAAUAGAAUAUUGGAAAGAAGAAAAUAAGAGACUCUGAUCUGAUCUAUCACAUUCCUGUCCUCUCAACAUCUACCUGCUAAUAUGUCCUGACAGUAAAGAUAGCUAACUUCUUGUGAUCUCCUCUUUUGGACCUUGUCAUGCACAUCAUAUUGAGUUACUUAGUAUAAUUGCAUGUCUUACAUCCACCGAUGAUGUUUAUUUGACAGUGAGUGAGGAGGAGAAGAGAACUGAUUUUUGCGUUUCUCCUUUCUUUUUCUUACAAGAUACAAUUAAGCUCUUUUGUUCUUUUGAUUGCUAUUUAUCCUUCUAAUAGUUCCUCAUCAUACACUAUAUCAUUUUGUCAAGAAAUCUAAUGAUAGAACUUGACUGCAACAACUUUGUAAGUUUUAGGAACUAAUUGUUACAAAUUGGAAAGUUGGAAUUUGACAUGAAUUUUUUAUGACUUUUGAGUUACUUUUUGUUGAUGAGGACUUCAUGUGAUGAGCUCAUAGAUGGGGAAAGUUACAUGUGCUUUUACUUCCGUAGGAGAUGUCUUUAUUUCUGGUUGUGGGAAGAUUGGUUUAGUAUUACCUGUCUAUUUAAUAGUCAAGUACUUCUAGUUUCAUUUGUUGGUUCAAUGGACACUCCACAUGCAAGCACAUGGUGUAUUAGGCCCACCACCACAAUCUACCAAUUUAUACCAGAUAAACUUUGAUAUCUGUGGUGUUAGUAUCCAGUUUCAUGAUCUGUGAUUGUUCAUGUGACUGUGAUUGCAUGAAAUAAGCUGUGCUGUGGGCUAUGAUAAACAAACCUAGAAAGGUUUUCUUUUGGAACAUAGGAAAACUAGUGGAAAGUGAAAAUUAAGUCAAGCUGUUUCUUUCUGCUUGAGGGAGUUCAUCCUCUUUUCUCCUUACAUGUAAUGGUGGCAAAGUUAGAUUGGCAAGAUCCGAGAAACAUGGGUGACAAGAUGUCGAACUGUUCCUUCUAUCACUAUCAUGUGGUUUUGAGAGAAAGGAAUAUAGUGUAGAUGGUACUUGAAAUGACCCAAUUAAUCUUUGGAGCAGGGACAAGAGGAUCCUUAACCUAUGCCUUACCAUUGUCAUUGCCAUAUUCUCCUUCUCAUGUUUUCGUCUUUAACCAUCAGAGUAAUAAGCAUUUCUUGUGCUGUGGAUGCACCCUUGUCUAGCUAUACGUUACAGUAUCAGAUUUUAUUUGAAUACUGCUGUCCUUCCCCACGUAUUGUAUUCUUAUAUUAUUGCAGAUAAGUCUAAUAAGGAACAUUGCCUCACUGAAGAUUUCUAUGGCAGAUGAAGAGAAACAUGGCCACCGAAGCAAAGGAUUCAAUGAUCAUUCUCCUACAAUAACAGGUUGAAUCAUUUCACAAUGAUAACCCAAGAGGACAUGAUGGAUUUGCUGAAACUCACAGGAAGAAACACAACAUAAUGGGUAGGACAUACAGAAGAGUACAAAAACUCACUUUCCAGCUAACAUGGGGGUGGUUGUUUUGCAGAUGAAAGAGAACCCAUUGUCACACACCAUGGUGGCUCAGUAUCUUCUUGAGAACAGUGGCCUUCAGCUUCAGAAAUGAAAUAUAGUCAGCAGUCCUCUGAAGCAAUGCCUGCAACCCAACACUCCUGCAACCAGGCACAACCUUCUUUAGCUUCCUAAGCUUCCUGAGCUCCAGAUGCUGCAGGGGCUUCCUCUCUCUCAGGGACACCAUUCCUCUACUUCCCCUUCUUGCACGAGGUGAAGCCCUUCUCAUCGCUGAGGACCUGAUCAUGCAGAGGACAGUGAUGAGAGGAAGGGAAGGCAGGGAGGAGGGUAUAAAUAGAGGCUGCAACUGGCCAUGCAAGUGACAGUGGUGAGGGAUGAGGAAAGGCAGGAGGUAAAACAGACAUGGGGCGAGGUUAUCUCACUCUGGCUGCAUGUGGAUAGAAUUAUUGGCUUCUCUCUCAUGCAAAGCCAAUCAAGUCAAGCAAUAGUACCACAGGAAGACACUCCUCACCUCCUGAGUUGACAUAUAUGAGUUUUCAGUGUGCCAAGGAAGGACAAGGCACAGUCUUCUUGUUACUGAUAAACGAGGGUCCAAGCAGGUGAUACAGGAAGACAUUGAUGCAGAGUCAUUGUUUGUUGGACCCCAAGAACAAGCUUGAGUUUGUUAUCUUUCUAUGUCAUUUCCAUGUCUUAGGUUGCUCACCUUGUUUGGACCUAAUUUAGCGCGAUUACCCGACAAUAAUUUAGGGUUGAGCAUGUCAAACUUGGAUUUAGUCUAGCAUAGCUUUUCUUCAUCAGAUUAUGAGAUAUCCCUCUCAUGGCUGACAUAUGAUGCUAGAACUACAAUCAUUGAUCAAAGAUUUGACCACAUGAUCAUGGAUGCUCUGGUGGAUGCUAAGGUGUCGUGUAUGUAAUUUAUUUCAUUAGAGGCAAAGAUGUCAGUUAACUUAGUCAGUAAAUGAUUACUAAAAUCUAUUACAUGUUUGAGAUCAUCAUUCAUGAAGAAGAGGAAGUUUUUA